Molecule: ribosomal RNA, 253 nt
Filed under: uncultured bacterium
Lineage: Bacteria
Description: partial 16S ribosomal RNA
Rfam family: Bacterial small subunit ribosomal RNA
Source: RNAcentral
UACGGGGGGGGCAAGCGUUGUUCGGAAUUAUUGGGCGUAAAGAGCGUGUAGGCUGUUCGGUAAGUCUGCCGUGAAAACCUGAGGCUCAACCUCGGGCGUGCGGUGGAUACUGCCGGGCUAGAGGACGGUAGAGGCGAGUGGAAUUCCCGGUGUAGCGGUGAAAUGCGCAGAUAUUCGGCGGAACACCGAUGGCGAAGGCAGCCUUCUGGGCCAACACUGACACUCAUGCACGAAAGCGUGGGGAGCAAACAGG